GACCCUUUCGGGUUAUAUGGUCAAGCGAUUAAGCGCAUACGGUGGAUGCCUAGGCAGCCAGAGGCGAUGAAAGACGUGGAAGCCUGCGAUAAGGCUCGGCGAGGUGGCAAACGACCUGUGACCCGGGCAUUUCUGAAUGGGGAAACCCACCCAGCACCAGCUGGGUAUCCCACACUGAAUACAUAGGUGUUGGGAGGCGAACCGGGGGAACUGAAACAUCUAAGUACCCCGAGGAAAAGAAAUCAACCGAGAUUCCCCUAGUAGCGGCGAGCGAACGGGGACCAGCCCUUAAGCGUGUGACUGAUUAGACGAACGAGCUGGGAAGCUCGGCCAUAGUGGGUGAUAGCCCCGUAGUCGAAAAUCUGAUCACGUGAAAUCGAGUAGGUCGGGGCACGAGAAACCUUGACUGAACAUGGGGGGACCAUCCUCCAAGGCUAAAUACUCCUGGCUGACCGAUAGUGAACCAGUACCGUGAGGGAAAGGCGAAAAGAACCCCGGAGAGGGGAGUGAAAUAGAUCCUGAAACCGUAUGCGUACAAGCAGUGGGAGCAGACAUGUUCUGUGACCGCGUACCUUUUGUAUAAUGGGUCAGCGACUUAUAUUCAGUGGCGAGCUUAACCGUAUAGGGGAGGCGUAGCGAAAGCGAGUCUUAACUGGGCGACCAGUCGCUGGAUAUAGACCCGAAACCGGGCGAUCUAUCCAUGAGCAGGUUGAAGGUUGAGUAACAUCAACUGGAGGACCGAACCAGGAUCUGUUGAAAAAGAUUUGGAUGACUUGUGGAUCGGAGUGAAAGGCUAAUCAAGCCCGGAGAUAGCUGGUUCUCCUCGAAAGCUAUUUAGGUAGCGCCUCACGUAUCACCGCCGGGGGUAGAGCACUGUUUCGGCUAGGGGGUCAUCCCGACUUACCAACCCGAGGCAAACUCCGAAUACCGGUGAGUGCAAGCGUGGGAGACACACGGCGGGUGCUAACGUCCGUCGUGAAAAGGGAAACAACCCAGACCGUCAGCUAAGGUCCCGAAAUCCUGGUUAAGUGGGAAACGAUGUGGGAAGGCUCAGACAGCUAGGAGGUUGGCUUAGAAGCAGCCAUCCUUUAAAGAAAGCGUAAUAGCUCACUAGUCGAGUCGGCCUGCGCGGAAGAUGUAACGGGGCUAAACCAGGUACCGAAGCUACGGG
This 1171-nucleotide ribosomal RNA is filed under the name Halomonas sp. DQ26W. RNAcentral describes it as "bacterial LSU rRNA". It matches the Rfam family "Bacterial large subunit ribosomal RNA", at positions 1 to 1206 of the family's 2925-position model. Lineage: Bacteria; Pseudomonadati; Pseudomonadota; Gammaproteobacteria; Oceanospirillales; Halomonadaceae. The record is from RNAcentral.